AAUGCACCAUUUGGCUGGUCACAAAAACAUCGUUUCCAUCAAGGGUGCUUAUGAGGAUCCUUUGUAUGUUCAUAUUGUCAUGGAACUUUGUGGUGGCGGUGAAUUGUUUGACCGCAUAAUUCAAAGAGGACACUACACCGAGAGAAAGGCUGCCGAUUUGACUAAAAUUAUUGUGGGUGUUGUUGAGGCAUGCCAUUCACUUGGAGUUAUGCAUAGAGAUCUCAAACCUGAGAAUUUCUUGUUGGUUAAUAAGGAUGAUGAUUUCUCUCUCAAGGCCAUUGAUUUUGGACUCUCUAUUUUCUUUAAGCCAGGACAAAUAUUCACAGAUGUUGUUGGUAGUCCAUAUUAUGUGGCUCCUGAGGUGCUUUUGAAGCAUUAUGGUCCAGAAGCAGAUGUUUGGACAGCAGGGGUCAUACUCUAUAUCCUGCUAAGUGGAGUUCCACCAUUCUGGGCUGAAACACAGCAGGGGAUAUUUGAUGCAGUUCUGAAAGGGCACAUUGAUUUUGACUCAGAUCCUUGGCCUCUAAUAUCAGAGAGUGCAAAGGAUCUCAUCCGGAAGAUGUUAUGCAUGCGACCCCCAGAGCGGUUAACUGCUCAUGAAGUAUUAUGUCAUCCUUGGAUUUGUGAAAAUGGUGUUGCUCCUGAUAGAGCACUUGAUCCUGCUGUACUUUCUCGCCUCAAACACUUUUCUGCAAUGAACAAAUUAAAAAAGAUGGCUCUGCGGGUGAUUGCUGAAAGUUUGUCAGAGGAGGAGAUUGCCGGUCUU
Molecule: unclassified non-coding RNA, 766 nt
Filed under: Hevea brasiliensis (rubber tree)
Lineage: Eukaryota; Viridiplantae; Streptophyta; Magnoliopsida; Malpighiales; Euphorbiaceae
Source: RNAcentral